AUUGAACGCUGGCGACGUGCCUAACACAUGCAAGUCGAGCGGUAACAGGUGUAGCAAUACAUGCUGACGAGCGGCGGACGGGUGAGUAACGCUUGGGAAUCUGCCUGUUAGUGGGGGACAACCCGGGGAAACUCGGGCUAAUACCGCAUACGCACUACGGUGGAAAGCCGGGGACCGCAAGGCCUGGCGCUAACAGAUGAGCCCAAGUCGGAUUAGCUAGUUGGUAGGGAACGGCCUACCAAGGCGACGAUCCGUAACUGGUCUGAGAGGACGACCAGUCACACCGGAACUGAGACACGGUCCGGACUCCUACGGGAGGCAGCAGUGGGGAAUAUUGGACAAUGGGCGAAAGCCUGAUCCAGCGACGCCGCGUGGGUGAAGAAGGCCUGCGGGUUGUAAAGCCCUUUCAGUGGGGAAAGAAAAGCCUCGAGUUAAUACCUCGGGGUCUUGACGUAACCCAUAGAAGAAGCACCGGCUAACUCUGUGCCAGC
Molecule: ribosomal RNA, 491 nt
Filed under: uncultured bacterium
Lineage: Bacteria
Description: bacterial SSU rRNA
Rfam family: Bacterial small subunit ribosomal RNA
Source: RNAcentral